AGGAAUCGAAAGUGGACGUAGGUUACAACGACCGAACCACUAUAAAUCUGGUAUGUUCUUUCCUUACUGCUUUCUUUCACUACUUAGCUAUAUUCUACACUUUGCAUUUACUCUAAGUCAUCAUUUUCAUUACUUUACGAUGUGGGCUUUGUCAAAACGAUUGUAUCAAAAGAAAUUUUUCAGAUCAAUGAAAUUUUUAUUGCUGCACUAAUUCAACCCCCCCUCUUAGU
RNAcentral lists this long non-coding RNA (230 nucleotides) under Musa acuminata (dwarf banana). Its description in RNAcentral is "long non-coding RNA (MACU_LNC005319)". The record is from RNAcentral. Lineage: Eukaryota; Viridiplantae; Streptophyta; Magnoliopsida; Zingiberales; Musaceae.